UACGAACCGUCCAAACGUUAUUCGGAUUUAUUGGGCUUAAAGGGUAUGUAGGCGGCCCUUCAAGUCGGGUGUGAAAGCCCUCGGCUCAACCGAGGAACUGCGCCCGAUACUGUGGGGCUCGAGGGAGACAGAGGUAAGCGGAACUGAUGGUGGAGCGGUGAAAUGCGUUGAUAUCAUCAGGAACACCAGUGGCGAAAGCGGCUUACUGGGUCUCUUCUGACGCUGAGAUACGAAAGCUAGGGGAGCGAAC
This 250-nucleotide ribosomal RNA is filed under the name uncultured bacterium. RNAcentral's name for it is "partial 16S ribosomal RNA". It matches the Rfam family "Bacterial small subunit ribosomal RNA", at positions 524 to 773 of the family's 1533-position model. The record is from RNAcentral.